RNAcentral lists this long non-coding RNA (935 nucleotides) under Brassica napus (rape). Its description in RNAcentral is "long non-coding RNA (BNAP_LNC025444)". Lineage: Eukaryota; Viridiplantae; Streptophyta; Magnoliopsida; Brassicales; Brassicaceae. The record is from RNAcentral.
UAGUGGUAGGGUGUGUGGGAAGGGGGUGAAUGGGUUUAAGGCUCUGUUCACUUGUAAUUGCCAUUGUUUUGGAUUUUUCAUCUUGGGAUGUUGCAGUUUUUUCACAUCAAAUAUAUGCAUUUUCGGAGAAGAAAAACAGAAGCAUGGAAGUCAAUUGGGCUAUCCUUGUCCAAAUAGAUUUAUCCAAAAUGUACAAUCUCGUUUUGGGACAAUGGUCUAAGCCUUAAAAGAAUCACGUCCAAAUAAGACUAUAAUCAAGUAGGAUGUCCGCGGUGUCCAAAAAGUAAAAAUUUACUCUCUGGGUAUGAUUUUACCGAAACGUAAUUCUGCGGUUUAAAUAAAAAAUAAUUUAACAGAUUUGGAAAAUCAUUUUACGUUGGCGGAAAAUUGUGUAUAUGAUUUUGAUGGAAACAGAUUUAGCAAUUUGACGGGAAAUAUGGUUUUGCGGUUUCGAUGAGAAAAUUUAUUUUAAAUUUUCAGUUGAAAAUGUAAUUUUGGUAUUUUGUCCGGAAAACAUGAUUUUUUUUUGUUUCGACGGGAAACGAGAUUUUACACAGAAAAUAAUUUUGCAUUUUUGGUGGAAAAAUGUGAAUUUGCGGUGAUUUUGCAGUUAUGGUAGAAAAACUUAAUUUUACCAUUUUGUGAGACAACAUGAUUUUGAGCUUUUGGUGGAAAACAUGAUUUUGAAGUUUUGAUGGAAAAAAAAUUAUUUUAGGAUUUGACAGGAAAAUGUGAUUUUGCGGAUAUGUGGAAAAAUGUGAGUGUUGAUUUGUUGGAAAAUGCGAUUUUGCGUAUUUGACAAGAAAAUGUGAUUUUGUGGGUUUGAUGUGAAAAUAUGAUUUUUCAUUUUUAGCAAAGAUUAUGAUUUAAAGAUUUUGAGGAAAACUAUGAUUUCACAGAUUUAACGGGAAUAUAUGAUUUUAUGGUUUUAGCAA